This 775-nucleotide ribosomal RNA is filed under the name uncultured Neocallimastigales. Its description in RNAcentral is "partial large subunit ribosomal RNA". It matches the Rfam family "Eukaryotic large subunit ribosomal RNA", at positions 24 to 631 of the family's 3401-position model. The record is from RNAcentral. Lineage: Eukaryota; Fungi; Neocallimastigomycota; Neocallimastigomycetes; Neocallimastigales.
UAUCUCUGUAGAGUCUGCAUAUCAAUAAGCGGAGGAAAAGAGACUAACUAAGGAUUCCCUCAGUAACGGCGAGUGAAGCGGGAAGAGCUCAAAUUUGAAAUCUUCAAGGUUCUACCUUGACGAAUUGUAGUUUAAAGAAGUGUUUUCUGUUGAAGUUUCGGUAAAAGUUCUUUGGAAUAGGACAUCAUAGAGGGUGAGAAUCCCGUAUUUGACCGUUAUUUUCAGCUGUGUGAUACACUUUCAAAGAGUCGGAUUGUUUGGGAAUGCAGUCCAAAAUGGGUGGUAAAUUUCAUCUAAAGCUAAAUAUUGGCGAGAGACCGAUAGCGAACAAGUACCGUGAGGGAAAGAUGAAAAGAACUUUGAAAAGAGAGUUAAACAGUACGUGAAAUUGUCAAAAGGGAAGCGUUUGACACCAGUGUUGUUUUUCUGAAAAUCAAUUAAAGAACUGUUUAUGCUAAGCUGUUUAGACUUUAUCAGCUAUCUGUUUAGUUUUGAGCUUUUCUUUAAUGCACUUUUCAGUUAACAAGUCAGCAUCAAUUUCUUUUGCUGUAAAAAAGCUUGAGGAAGGUGGCUUGAGAUUCGUCUUAAGUGUUUAUAGCCUCUUGCCUAUGCAGUCGGAGAGAUUGAGGUCUGCAGCGUAGAUCCUUCGGGGCUAAAUGCAUUUGUGCUAAGUUAUAGCAUUUUAUAGACAACUUGUUGACUAUGAUUUGUCUUGUAGCUUACUCGCUUAUGUUAUUUUACCUACGCUUAGGAUGUUGAUAUGCAUGACUGAUAU